UAGCGCAGCCCGGUAGCGCACUUGACUGGGGGUCAAGGGGUCGUCGGUUCGAAUCCGGC
Molecule: transfer RNA, 59 nt
Filed under: Mesorhizobium sp. SCN 65-20
Lineage: Bacteria; Pseudomonadati; Pseudomonadota; Alphaproteobacteria; Hyphomicrobiales; Phyllobacteriaceae
Description: tRNA-Pro
Rfam family: tRNA
About the family: Transfer RNA (tRNA) molecules are approximately 80 nucleotides in length. Their secondary structure includes four short double-helical elements and three loops (D, anti-codon, and T loops).
Source: RNAcentral